RNAcentral lists this ribosomal RNA (235 nucleotides) under uncultured bacterium. RNAcentral describes it as "partial 16S ribosomal RNA". It matches the Rfam family "Bacterial small subunit ribosomal RNA", at positions 96 to 334 of the family's 1533-position model. The record is from RNAcentral.
UGGCGGACGGGUGAGUAAUGUCUGGGAAACUGCCCGAUGGAGGGGGAUAACUACUGGAAACGGUAGCUAAUACCGCAUAACGUCGCAAGACCAAAGAGGGGGACCUUCGGGCCUCUUGCCAUCGGAUGUGCCCAGAUGGGAUUAGCUAGUAGGUGGGGUAACGGCUCACCUAGGCGACGAUCCCUAGCUGGCCUGAGAGGAUGACCAGCCACACUGGAACUGAGACACGGUCCAG